GUGUCAGCCGCCGCGGUAAUACAGAGGGUGCGAGCGUUAAUCGGAAUUACUGGGCGUAAAGCGUGCGUAGGCGGCUUUUUAAGUCGGAUGUGAAAUCCCUGAGCUUAACUUGGGAAUUGCAUUCGAUACUGGGAAGCUAGAGUAUGGGAGAGGAUGGUAGAAUUCCAGGUGUAGCGGUGAAAUGCGUAGAGAUCUGGAGGAAUACCGAUGGCGAAGGCAGCCAUCUGGCCUAAUACUGACGCUGAGGUACGAAAGCAUGGGGAGCAAACAGGAUUAGAAACCCCAGUAGUCC
This 292-nucleotide ribosomal RNA is filed under the name uncultured prokaryote. RNAcentral describes it as "partial 16S ribosomal RNA". It matches the Rfam family "Bacterial small subunit ribosomal RNA", at positions 505 to 796 of the family's 1533-position model. The record is from RNAcentral.